UUCCGGUUGAUCCUGCCGGAGGUUACUGCUAUCGGUGUUCGCCUAAGCCAUGCGAGUCAUAUGUAGCAAUACAUGGCGUACUGCUCAGUAACACGUGGAUAACCUGCCCUUGGGACCGGCAUAACCCCGGGAAACUGGGGAUAAUUCCGGAUAACGCAUAUGUGCUGGAAUGCUUUAUGCGUAAAAUGGAUUCGUCUGCCCAAGGAUGGGCCUGCGGCCUAUCAGGUAGUAGUGGGUGUAAUGUACCUACUAGCCAGCGACGGGUACGGGUUGUGAGAGCAAGAGCCCGGAGAUGGAUUCUGAGACAUGAAUCCAGGCCCUACGGGGCGCAGCAGGCGCGAAAACUUUACAACGCGGGAAACCGUGAUAAGGGGACACCGAGUGCCAGCAUCAUAUGCUGGCUGUCCAGGUGUGUAAAAUACACCUGUUAGCAAGGGCCGGGCAAGACCGGUGCCAGCCGCCGCGGUAACACCGGCGGCCCGAGUGGUGAUCGUGAUUAUUGGGUCUAAAGGGUCCGUAGCCGGUUUGGUCGGUCCUCCGGGAAGUCUGAUAGCUCAACUAUUAGGCUUUCGGGGGAUACUGCCAGACUUGGAACCGGGAGAGGUAAGAGGUAC
This 614-nucleotide ribosomal RNA is filed under the name uncultured archaeon. Its description in RNAcentral is "bacterial SSU rRNA". It matches the Rfam family "Archaeal small subunit ribosomal RNA", at positions 1 to 618 of the family's 1478-position model. The record is from RNAcentral.